UCAUGGUUAACAUCCUCACUUUU
This 23-nucleotide small nuclear RNA is filed under the name Arabidopsis thaliana (thale cress). RNAcentral describes it as "snRNA_06898". The record is from RNAcentral. Lineage: Eukaryota; Viridiplantae; Streptophyta; Magnoliopsida; Brassicales; Brassicaceae.